RNAcentral lists this ribosomal RNA (254 nucleotides) under uncultured bacterium. RNAcentral describes it as "partial 16S ribosomal RNA". It matches the Rfam family "Bacterial small subunit ribosomal RNA", at positions 524 to 776 of the family's 1533-position model. The record is from RNAcentral.
UACGGAGGGUGCGAGCGUUGUCCGGAAUCAUUGGGCGUAAAGGGCGCGUAGGUGGCUUCUUAAGCGUGCGGUGAAAGCCUGGGGCUCAACCCCGGGUCGGCCGUGCGAACUGGGGGGCUGGAGCACUGUAGAGGCAGGCGGAAUUCCGGGUGUAGCGGUGGAAUGCGUAGAGAUCCGGAAGAACACCGGUGGCGAAGGCGGCCUGCUGGGCAGUUGCUGACACUGAGGCGCGGACAGCGUGGGGAGCAAACAGG